This 555-nucleotide ribosomal RNA is filed under the name Blastocystis sp. Its description in RNAcentral is "SSU rRNA". It matches the Rfam family "Eukaryotic small subunit ribosomal RNA", at positions 19 to 592 of the family's 1831-position model. Lineage: Eukaryota; Bigyra; Opalinata; Blastocystidae. The record is from RNAcentral.
AGUAGUCAUACGCUCGUCUCAAAGAUUAAGCCAUGCAUGUGUAAGUAUAAAUAUUUUUCUUUGAAACUGCGAAUGGCUCAUUAUAUCAGUUAUAGUUUAUUUGAUGAAAUGUACUACUUGGAUAUCCGUAGUAAUUCUAGAGCUAAUACAUGAUCAAUUCCUCGACUUUGAAGAGGUGUAUUUAUUAGAAUGAAAACCAAUAGACUCUGUCUGUUUGUGAGUAAUAAUAACUUGUCAUAUCGCAUGCUUAGGUAGCGAUGUGUCUUUUAAGUUUCUGCCCUAUCAGCUUUCGAUGGUAGUGUAUUGGACUCCCAUGGCAGUAACGGGUAACGAAGAAUUUGGGUUCGAUUUCGGAGAGGGAGCCUGAGAGACGGCUCCCACAUACAAGGAAGGCAGCAGGCGCGUAAAUUACCCAAUCCUGACACAGGGAGGUAGUGACAAUAAAUCACAAUGCGGAACUUCUGUUUUGCAAUUGGAUUGAGAACAACGCACAACACUUAUCGAUAAACAAUUGGAGGGCAAGUCUGGUGCCAGCAGCCGCGGUAAUCCAGCUCC